CGGCGUGCUUAACACAUGCAAGUCGAGUGCGCGUGCCGUANCAAUACGGCAUGGCGCACGGCGCACGGGUGCGUAACACGUGGGUAACCUGCCCUUUGAUGGGGAAUAACCCCGCGAAAGCGGGGCUAAUUCCGCAUAAGAUCCGCAAGGAUGAAAGCCGUAAGGCGUCGAAGGAGGGGCCCGCGCCCGAUUAGCUAGUUGGUAAGGUAACGGCCUACCAAGGCUAUGAUCGGUAGCUGGUCUGAGAGGAUGGCCAGCCACACUGGAACUGAGACACGGUCCAGACUCCUACGGGAGGCAGCAGUGGGGAAUCUUGCGCAAUGGGCGAAAGCCUGACGCANCGACGCCGCGUGGGGGAUGAAGCUUCUCGGAGUGUAAACCCCUUUCGACCCGGACGAAUACCUCGCAAGAGGGGUGACGGUACGGGUAUAAGAAGCCCCGGCUAACUACGUGCCAGCAGCCGCGGUAAGGCGUAGGGGGCCACCGUUGUUCGGAAUUACUGGGUGAUAAGGGUCAGUAGGCGGUGUGGCAAGUCGGGAGUGAAA
RNAcentral lists this ribosomal RNA (545 nucleotides) under uncultured bacterium. RNAcentral describes it as "bacterial SSU rRNA". It matches the Rfam family "Bacterial small subunit ribosomal RNA", at positions 40 to 599 of the family's 1533-position model. The record is from RNAcentral.